Canis lupus familiaris (dog) is the source of this 1331-nucleotide long non-coding RNA. RefSeq lists it as uncharacterized. The transcript is spliced from 3 exons. The record is from RefSeq and is a predicted model, not a curated record. Lineage: Eukaryota; Metazoa; Chordata; Mammalia; Carnivora; Canidae.
CAGAGGGGCACAUGGCAAACAUGCCCGGCAGCCCUGGUACUGGUCUGCUACCUCUGCCACCAACUCCCUGUUCACCAGAUCAGUAAAAGUGAUUCGGACAAGGAAGCCACCUUGCCAGGAAUAAUGGGGAAGAAAGCUGCAAGGGAAAAGUUUUGCCUGCUAAUGAGCCUAUGCUGUCCAUCACCUAAUUAUCUCUGAAAAUCCUCAGCGACCCCCUUCCCUGGCUGCAGCCAUGGCGCCUGUCCCUGGGAGAUCUACAGGGGGACAGGACCAGCGAUGCCUGAGGAUGGUCCUUUUGCUCCUGUCCCAGUGCCUGGGAAGGCAGGUGGUCGCACCCAGGAGACAGAAUCCUGAGGGGGAAGGGAGCUGGCAGCCGAGAUCCCCAUCCCACCUGCAACUUCUGGGGGUGCCUUCACCCCACGCAGGAGAGCCUGAGCUCGUCUGAAGUGGGCUUCCCUCCCCUUCGCCACAAGCUCCUUCCUGGAUCAAGACAAAACCGCAGUUAUGAUAAAGUCUUGACAGCUGUCGGCCGAACAAGAGAACAGUAGGUUGGAAAUAACCACUGAAAUGUUUGCCCAGGGAAAGCAAGCCUCUGGGAUCAGAGAGCACGGACGAAUUUUGCUCCAACGCAAAGAGACGAGUCCAGAGUUCACUCUGCAUUCUCUGCUGCAUGCAAGGCCUCAUGCAACCUCUCCUCCCUGUCUGCCACCCCAGACCCAAGCAGUUCCCUCUUGCAAUGGUGGGAAAGCUACUGCCCCCCUCCCUGCCCCCAGCAAGGCUGGAUACUCAGCAGAUGACAGCUCAGCACCCAUUUGCAAGGCUGUCCCAGGGAUGCUGAGCAAAGCUCAGGCACCCGGAGAAAGGGGGGAUACCCCGCUCAUGGUAAAUCAAGGUCCUAUAAAUUUUGCAGGUGCAGGGGUUGAUAGAGGAGCCAAAAGUUACCAUUCCAGAGAGAAAGUUUAUUUUCACCUGCAAAACUUCUGUAUUCUGGACAGCUCCACCCCACCCCUUCCCCAGGAGAAAGAGCCCAAGCAGGGUCUCCCGCCAAAUAUAGACAAAGCAAGGAGGACACAGAUUGCAGAGUUUGAGGCUCGGUCACUUCUAGUUCUUUUCCCUGAAAACAUGGCCUAAUCAUUUUAUACCUCCAAUAAAGCUGAGGAAUGUUAUAGUUGCUACAUUGAGUACACAGUGGGGAGGGGAAGAAAGGGAACCUCACGACCAAAAAAAAAAAAAAAACCCAGGCAGGCAAAUAUAUCUCAAGCAGGAUUGGAGAUAAACACAGAGAACAAAUGACCAUGGAGAGAAGAAAGAAAGAGACAGAGGCUAUUUUG